UGGGGAAUUUUGGACAAUGGGGGCAACCCUGAUCCAGCCAUUUCGCGUGUGUGAUGAAGGCCUUCGGGUUGUAAAGCACUUUUGGCAGGAAAGAAAUCGCGCGGGCUAAUAUCCUGCGUGGAUGACGGUACCUGCAGAAUAAGCACCGGCUAACUACGUGCCAGCAGCCGCGGUAAUACGUAGGGUGCAAGCGUUAAUCGGAAUUACUGGGCGUAAAGGGUGCGCAGGCGGUUCGGAAAGAAGGAUGUGAAAUCCCAGGGCUCAACCUUGGAAUGGCAUUCUUAACUACCGGGCUAGAGUGUGUCAGAGGGGGGUGGAAUUCCGCGUGUAGCAGUGAAAUGCGUAGAGAUGCGGAGGAACACCGAUGGCGAAGGCAGCCCCCUGGGAUAACACUGACGCUCAGGCACGAAAGCGUGGGUAGCAAACAG
Molecule: ribosomal RNA, 428 nt
Filed under: uncultured organism
Description: bacterial SSU rRNA
Rfam family: Bacterial small subunit ribosomal RNA
Source: RNAcentral